UAAAGGAAUUGACGGAAGGGCACCACCAGGAGUGGAGCCUGCGGCUUAAUUUGACUCAACACGGGAAAACUUACCCGGCCCGGACACUGGGAGGAUUGACAGAUUGAGAGCUCUUUCUUGAUUCGGUGGAUGGUGGUGCAUGGCCGUUCUUAGUUGGUGGAGCGAUUUGUCUGGUUAAUUCCGAUAACGAACGAGACUCUAGCCUAUUAAAUAGGUGCGGGGUUCCCAGCACCUUACAACCUUCUUAGAGGGACAAGCGGCUCCUAGCCGCACGAAACAGAGCAAUAACAGGUCUGUGAUGCCCUUAGAUGUCCGGGGCCGCACGCGCGCUACACUGAAGGAAGCAGCGUGUCUUUAUCCCUGUCUGAAAAGACUGGGUAACCCGUGGAACUUCUUUCGUGAUUGGGAUAGGGGCUUGCAAUUGUUCCCCUUGAACGAGGAAUUCCCAGUAAGCGCGAGUCAUAAGCUCGCGUUGAUUACGUCCCUGCCCUUUGUACACACCGCCCGUCGCUACUACCGAUUGAA
RNAcentral lists this ribosomal RNA (525 nucleotides) under Rhipicephalus turanicus. RNAcentral describes it as "SSU rRNA". It matches the Rfam family "Eukaryotic small subunit ribosomal RNA", at positions 1145 to 1693 of the family's 1831-position model. Lineage: Eukaryota; Metazoa; Arthropoda; Arachnida; Ixodida; Ixodidae. The record is from RNAcentral.